UACGUAGGUGGCGAGCGUUAUCCGGAAUGAUUGGGCGUAAAGGGUGCGUAGGCGGCCUGCUAAGUCUGGAGUGAAAGGUACCGGCUCAACCGGUACAGGCUCUGGAAACUGGCGGGCUAGAGAGCAGGAGAGGGCGGUGGAACUCCAUGUGUAGCGGUAAAAUGCGUAGAUAUAUGGAGGAACACCAGUUGCGAAGGCGGCUCUCUGGACUGUAACUGACACUGAGGCACGAAAGCGUGGGGAGCAAACAGG
This 252-nucleotide ribosomal RNA is filed under the name uncultured bacterium. Its description in RNAcentral is "partial 16S ribosomal RNA". It matches the Rfam family "Bacterial small subunit ribosomal RNA", at positions 524 to 776 of the family's 1533-position model. The record is from RNAcentral.